RNAcentral lists this long non-coding RNA (745 nucleotides) under Ananas comosus (pineapple). RNAcentral's name for it is "long non-coding RNA (ACOM_LNC035958)". The record is from RNAcentral. Lineage: Eukaryota; Viridiplantae; Streptophyta; Magnoliopsida; Poales; Bromeliaceae.
AUGUCAAUGGGUAUGGAUACCCGAAAUUUUAUCCAAAUCCGAACUUGAAUGAAACGGAUAUAUCCGAUACUAAAUGGAUGUGGAUUUGGAUAUGGAUAUCAAAAAUAAAAAUUCGACGGAUAUGAAUUUUGACUGUACCCGACCCGAACCCGAACCUGAAUUUAUUUUGUAUUAUAUAUAUAUAUAUAUAUAUAUAAUUGAGCUAGAAUAUUUUUACAAGUAUCACCCCUUUGGUGCUAUUAGGUUUUUAGCCUUGGGAUCUACUCCUUGAUUACUAAUAGCCCUUGAAUCAAACGCUAUUUCACCUACCACCACCUACCACCAUCAUCCCAACCAUACAUUUCUCUAUCCAAUGGUUAAAAACUCACAAGCACCAUCCUCUUGAUGUUUUUAGAAGUAUUCUAGCUCAACUCUCUCUCUCUCUCUCUCUCUCUCUCUAUAUAUAUAUAUAUAUAUAUAUAUAUUUGAUGUUAUAUUUGAAUUUGUAUUUUAAAAAUUUAGAUUUAAUAUAAUAUAUUUUGAAAUAUUGAAAAAAGAAAUAACUGUUUUGAGUUCAAAUUUCGGGUUCGGGUUUGGGUUCGGGUUUCGGAUUUUUUGUCGGUUUCGGGUUUGGAUAUGGAUUUUUAAAAUCCGUUGGGUUUCGGUUCGGGUUCGGGUUCGGGUUCAGGUUUCGGGUUUGGAGUCGGGUUCGGGUUCGGAUUUUUAAAAAUUCGCCCCGAAUCUGACCCGUUGACAUCUCUAAUUG